Molecule: transfer RNA, 74 nt
Filed under: Spirochaetaceae bacterium
Lineage: Bacteria; Pseudomonadati; Spirochaetota; Spirochaetia; Spirochaetales; Spirochaetaceae
Description: tRNA-Ile
Rfam family: tRNA
About the family: Transfer RNA (tRNA) molecules are approximately 80 nucleotides in length. Their secondary structure includes four short double-helical elements and three loops (D, anti-codon, and T loops). Further hydrogen bonds mediate the characteristic L-shaped molecular structure. tRNAs have two regions of fundamental functional importance: the anti-codon, which is responsible for specific mRNA codon recognition, and the 3' end, to which the tRNAs corresponding amino acid is attached (by aminoacyl-tRNA synthetases). tRNAs cope with the degeneracy of the genetic code in two manners: having more than one tRNA (with a specific anti-codon) for a particular amino acid; and 'wobble' base-pairing, i.e. permitting non-standard base-pairing at the 3rd anti-codon position.
Source: RNAcentral
GGGCCCUUAGCUCAGUCGGUUAGAGCUGCGGACUCAUAAUCCGUAGGUCGCUGGUUCAAGUCCAGCAGGGCCCA